This 505-nucleotide ribosomal RNA is filed under the name uncultured bacterium. Its description in RNAcentral is "partial 16S ribosomal RNA". It matches the Rfam family "Bacterial small subunit ribosomal RNA", at positions 29 to 522 of the family's 1533-position model. The record is from RNAcentral.
AGUGAACGCUGGCGGUAGGCCUAACACAUGCAAGUCGAACGGCAGCACAGAGGAGCUUGCUCCCUGGGUGGCGAGUGGCGGACGGGUGAGGAAUACAUCGGAAUCUACUCUGUCGUGGGGGAUAACGUAGGGAAACUUACGCUAAUACCGCAUACGACCUACGGGUGAAAGCAGGGGAUCUUCGGACCUUGCGCGAUUGAAUGAGCCGAUGUCGGAUUAGCUAGUUGGCGGGGUAAAGGCCCACCAAGGCGACGAUCCGUAGCUGGUCUGAGAGGAUGAUCAGCCACACUGGAACUGAGGCACGGUCCAGACUCCUACGGAAGGCAGCAGUGGGGAAUAUUGGACAAUGGGCGCAAGCCUGAUCCAGCCAUACCGCGUGGGUGAAGAAGGCCUUCGGGUUGUAAAGCCCUUUUGUUGGGAAAGAAAUCCAUCUGGUUAAUACCCGGGUGGGAUGACGGUACCCAAAGAAUAAGCACCGGCUAACUUCGUGCCAGCAGCCGCCGUA